AUCGCUUCUCGGCCUUUUGGCUAAGAUCAAGUGUAGAAUAUGUGGUACAUACACACCAUGGAAUGCUGCAUAAAAAAGAAUGAAAUCAUGACCUUUGCAGGGGCAUGGAUGGAGCUGGAGGUCAUUAUCCUUAGCAAACUAAUGCAUGUUUGCUCCAUGUUUUCACUUGUAAGUUGGAGCUAAAUGAU
Small nuclear RNA from Cebus imitator (Panamanian white-faced capuchin), 188 nucleotides. RefSeq annotates it as U2 spliceosomal RNA. The record is from RefSeq and is a predicted model, not a curated record. Lineage: Eukaryota; Metazoa; Chordata; Mammalia; Primates; Cebidae. The transcript has a single exon.